UGGGGAAUAUUGCACAAUGGGCGCAAGCCUGAUGCAGCCAUGCCGCGUGUAUGAAGAAGGCCUUCGGGUUGUAAAGUACUUUCAGCGAGGAGGAAGGCGUUGUGGUUAAUAACCGCAACGAUUGACGUUACUCGCAGAAGAAGCACCGGCUAACUCCGUGCCAGCAGCCGCGGUAAUACGGAGGGUGCAAGCGUUAAUCGGAAUUACUGGGCGUAAAGCGCACGCAGGCGGUCUGUCAAGUCGGAUGUGAAAUCCCCGGGCUCAACCUGGGAACUGCAUCCGAAACUGGCAGGCUAGAGUCUUGUAGAGGGGGGUAGAAUUCCAGGUGUAGCGGUGAAAUGCGUAGAGAUCUGGAGGAAUACCGGUGGCGAAGGUGGCCCCCUGGACAAAGACUGACGCUCAGGUGCGAAAGCGUGGGGAGCAAACA
This 427-nucleotide ribosomal RNA is filed under the name uncultured bacterium. RNAcentral describes it as "partial 16S ribosomal RNA". It matches the Rfam family "Bacterial small subunit ribosomal RNA", at positions 355 to 774 of the family's 1533-position model. The record is from RNAcentral.